AGCAGUGAGGAAUUUGGUCAAUGGGCGCAAGCCUGAACCAGCCAUCCCGCGUGAAGGAAGAAGGCGCUAUGCGUCGUAAACUUCUUUUCCAGAGGAAGAAAACCCCCGACGUGUCGGGGCUUGCCGGUACUCUGGGAAUAAGCAUCGGCUAACUCCGUGCCAGCAGCCGCGGUAAUACGGAGGAUGCGAGCGUUAUCCGGAUUUAUUGGGUUUAAAGGGUGCGUAGGCGGAUUGAUAAGUCAGUGGUGAAAACCUUCAGCUUAACUGGAGACUUGCCAUUGAUACUGUUAGUCUUGAGUACGGUCAAGGUAGGCGGAAUGUGUAAUGUAGCGGUGAAAUGCUUAGAUAUUACACAGAACACCGAUUGCGAAGGCAGCUUACUGGGCCAUUACUGACGCUGAUGCACGAAAGCGUGGGGAGCGAACAGGAUUAGAUACCCUGGUAGUCCACGCCGUAAACGAUGAUCACUCGCUGUUAGCGAUACACAGUUAGCGGCUAAGCAAAAGCAUUAAGUGAUCCACCUGGGGAGUACGGUCGCAAGACUGAAACUCAAAGGAAUUGACGGGGGCCCGCACAAGCGGAGGAACAUGUGGUUUAAUUCGAUGAUACGCGAGGAACCUUACCUGGGCUUAAAUGUAGAGUGCAUGAGGUAGAAAUACUUCUUUCCUUCGGGGACUCUUUGCAAGGUGCUGCAUGGUUGUCGUCAGCUCGUGCCGUGGAGGUGUCGGGU
RNAcentral lists this ribosomal RNA (730 nucleotides) under uncultured Bacteroidota bacterium. RNAcentral describes it as "bacterial SSU rRNA". It matches the Rfam family "Bacterial small subunit ribosomal RNA", at positions 350 to 1080 of the family's 1533-position model. The record is from RNAcentral. Lineage: Bacteria; Pseudomonadati; Bacteroidota.